CCAAGCGCAGAAGCGUGCAUGGGGAAUGCUUAGGCGUCGAGAGCCGAAGAAAGACGUGGCAUAGCUGCGAUAAGCCUCGGGGAGCCGCUCAGCAGGCAUUGAUCCGGGGAUUUCUUAGAUGCGGAAACGUCACGGAGGUAGUGCUCCGUGAGCCCGCGGUGAAUCCAUAGCCGCGUGGCGGGGAACGGAGGGAACUGAAACAUCUCAGUACCUCCAGGAAAGGAAAGAGAACUCGACUCCCUGAGUAGUGGCGAGCGAAAGGGGACCAGCCCAAACCGGCGCCGUGCCAAGGAUGUGGCCGUUGCGGCGCGGGAGUUGCGGGACCUGCAGGCGGAGCCACAAAUCCGCCAGGAAGUUACCAAUCUUGCUGCUAGCCGAAGGCUCUGGAAAGGGCCGCCGGAGAGAGUGACAGCCUCGUAGGCGAAAGCAUCAAGACUUCCGCAGGUAUCCCAAGUAACACGGGUCCCGAGAAAGCCCGUGUGAAUCUGCGGGGACCAUCCCGUAAGGCUAAGUACUUCUCGACGACCGAUAGCGACGAGUAGCGCGAGCGAAAAGUGAAAAGAUCCCCGGUGAGGGGAGUGAAAAGUACCUGAAACCAUGCACGUACAAGCUGUAGGAGGCCUAUGCCCCGCAAGGGGAAUGGCUGACUGCGUGCCUUUUGCAUAAUGAUUCGACGACUCACGGUACAGGGCAAGGUUAAGCGCCUCCGGCGCGUAGCCGCAGCGAAAGCGAGUGCGAACAGCGCGUCCAGUCAUGUGCCGUGGACCCGAAAGCAAGUGAUCUAACCAUGGGCAGGGUGAAGCGGAACUAACCUUCCGUGGAGGCCCGAACCUAUGUGGGUUGAAAACCGCUGGGAUGACUUGUGGUUAGGAGCAAAAAACUAAUCGAACUUGCAGAUAGCUGGUUCUCCCCGAAAUACCUUUUGGGGUAGCGUCAGGUCAAUAGCGCGCGGGGGUAGAGAGACUGAAUGCGAAUGGGGGCCCACCAGGCUACCCACCGCAACCAAACUCCGAAUACCGUGCGCCUUACCCUGGCAGUGAGUCCGUGGGGGCUAAGCUUCAUGGACGAGAGGGAAACAACCCAGACCGCCAGCUAAGGUCCCCAAGUCUGGCUGAGUGUGCACAAGGAGCUGGGAUUGCUGAGACAGCCGGGAUGUUGGCUUAGAAGCAGCCAUCAUUUAAAGAGUGCGUAACAGCUCACCGGUCGAGCAGUCCUGGGCCACAAAUGAACGGGACUAAGCCAGACACCGAAGCUGCGGAUUCCGGUGCCAUGCGGCGCCGGAGUGGUAGGGGAGCGUUGGUUGCGCCAUGAAGCCGUACGGAAACGAGCGGUGGAGCGGCAACCAAGUGCUUCUGUCGAAAUGAGUAGCGAGAAAGGAAGUGAGAAUCUUCCUCGCCGUAAACCUAAGGUUUCCUGGGGAAGGGAAAUCCGCCCAGGGUUAGUCGGAACCUAAGGCAAGGCCGAAAGGCGUAGCCGAUGGACGACGGGUCAAAAUUCCCGUACCACCAAUGAGCGUUUGACCGAUGGAGUGACGGAGUCACAAAGAUCGUCGCGGCGACAGUUGUCCGCGUGCAAACCCGAGGGGUGCUGCAGGAAAAUCCGCAGCGCAAAGCCCCGGAGGCGAUGCCGAAGCCUUGAGCUGAAGCGAUCGGCGUGACUUCCUGGAAAACCUUCUAGGGAGCUCAAAGGUGUCCGUACCAAAACUGACACAGGUUGGUGAGGUGAGCAUCCUAAGGCGCUCGAGAUAACCUUUGCCAAGGAACUCGACAAAAUGGCCCCGUAAGUUCGCGAUAAGGGGCGCCGCUGCCAGUGAUGGGAUUUACUCUCCGAGCUGGCGGUGGCCGCAGGAAUCGGGAGUGGGGACUGUUUACCUAAAACACAGGACUCUGCUAAGCCGUAAAAGGCGAAGUAUAGGGUCCGACGCUUGCCCAAUGCCGGAAGGUUAAGAGGAGGGGUUAGCCGCAAGGCAAAGCUCUGAAUUGAAGCCCCGGUGAAUGGCGGCCGUAACUAUGACGGUCCUAAGGUAGCGAAGUUCCUUGUCGGGUAAGUUCCGACGCGCAUGAAUAGCGUAACCACUGCUCCAUUGUCUCGGCAAAGGUCUCGGCGAAAUUGCAGCCGAGGUGAAGAUACCUCGUACCCGCACUAAGACGGAAAGACCCCGUGAACCUUUACUACAGCCUGGUAUUGGGCACUGAUGCCACAUGUGUAGGAUAGGUGGGAGACUGUGAGGCGGGUGCGCCAGCACUCGCGGAGUCGUCGGUGAAAUACCACCCUUGUUGCAUUAGUGUUCUAACUCGGCACCGUGAAUCCGGGCCGAGGAAAGUGCCAGGUGGGUAGUUUGGCUGGGGCGGCCUCCUCCUAAAAAGUAACGGAGGAGCCCGAAGGCACCCUCAGAGUGGUUGGCAAUCACUCGAAGAGCGUAAGGGUACAAGGGUGCUUAACUGUGAGACCCAAUUCGUCAAGCAGGUGUGAAAGCAGGGCCUAGUGAUCCGGCGGAUUCCGAGUGGAAGGGCCGUCGCUCAUCAGACAAAAGGUACUCCGGGGAUAACAGGCUGAUCUCCCCCAAGAGUCCACAUCGACGGGGAGGUUUGGCACCUCGAUGUCGGCUCAUCGCAUCCUGGGGCUGGAGAAGGUCCCAAGGGUUCGGCUGUUCGCCGAUUAAAGCGGUACGUGAGCUGGGUUCAGACCGUCGUGAGACAGGUCGGUCCCUAUCUAGUGUGGGUGUUGGACGCUUGAGGAGCCUUCUCCCUAGUACGAGAGGACUGGGAGGAACGAGCCUCUGGUGCACCAGUUGUCACGCUCGUGGCAUAGCUGGAUAGCUACGCUCGGACAUGGAUAAACGCUGAAAGCAUCUAAGCGUGAAGCCUACUCCAAGACUUGGCGUCCCCAUCAGGGCCCAGGGAGACUACCUGGUUGAUAGGCAGUAGCUGUAAGCACGGCGACGUGUUGAGGCGAACUGUACUAAUCGCCCGAUCGGCUUGGUUUCCCCCU
RNAcentral lists this ribosomal RNA (2991 nucleotides) under Planctomycetota bacterium. RNAcentral's name for it is "Planctomycetes bacterium 23S ribosomal RNA". It matches the Rfam family "Bacterial large subunit ribosomal RNA". Lineage: Bacteria; Pseudomonadati; Planctomycetota. The record is from RNAcentral.